Molecule: ribosomal RNA, 252 nt
Filed under: uncultured bacterium
Lineage: Bacteria
Description: partial 16S ribosomal RNA
Rfam family: Bacterial small subunit ribosomal RNA
Source: RNAcentral
UACGUAGGGUGCAAGCGUUGUCCGGAAUUAUUGGGCGUAAAGAGCUCGUAGGCGGUUUGUCGCGUCUGCUGUGAAAACUCAGGGCUUAACCCUGAGCCUGCAGUGGGUACGGGCAGACUAGAGUGUGGUAGGGGAGAUCGGAAUUCCUGGUGUAGCGGUGAAAUGCGCAGAUAUCAGGAGGAACACCGAUGGCGAAGGCAGGUCUCUGGGCCACUACUGACGCUGAGAAGCGAAAGCGUGGGAGCAAACGGG